This 253-nucleotide ribosomal RNA is filed under the name uncultured bacterium. RNAcentral describes it as "partial 16S ribosomal RNA". It matches the Rfam family "Bacterial small subunit ribosomal RNA", at positions 524 to 776 of the family's 1533-position model. The record is from RNAcentral.
UACGGGGGGGGCAAGCGUUGUUCGGAAUUACUGGGCGUAAAGGGCGCGUAGGCGGCCUGCUAAGUCGGACGUGAAAUCCCUCGGCUCAACCGAGGAACUGCGUCCGAUACUGGUGGGCUUGAAUCCGGGAGAGGGAUGUGGAAUUCCAGGUGUAGCGGUGAAAUGCGUAGAUAUCUGGAGGAACACCGGUGGCGAAGGCGGCAUCCUGGACCGGUAUUGACGCUGAGACGCGAAAGCGUGGGGAGCGAACAGG